AUAGUUAAGAAUCCGCACUACAUAGAUAUCAAAGUACUGCAAACUCUAUUCAUUCAACUGCACAAAUCUCAAAGCAUCAUUAGCAUCUAGCCUAUAGUCAAGGAUCAUCCAACAUAGUUCUCAAAGAACUUCGAACCUCUUUAGUCAUCCGGGUGCAUAGAUUUCAAAGCAUCCUUAGUAUAUAUUUAGUUAAGGAUCACUAACCACAUAAUCUUAAAACAUUUCGAGCCUCUUCAUUCAUCUGCCUGCAUAAAUUUUCAAGCAACCUUAGUAUAUGACUUUAAGGAUCAUCCACCGCACAGAUCUCAAAGUACUCCAAAAGUCUUGAUUCAGCCGCUUGUAUAGUUUUUAAAACAUUCUUAGUAUAUGACCCAUAAUUAAGAAUCACCUACUGCACAUAUUUUAAACCACUUCGAACCUCUUCAUCUAUCUGCACAAUCCAAAGACAUUCGAGAUGUUUGAAGAGAGCGAGU
Molecule: long non-coding RNA, 473 nt
Filed under: Phoenix dactylifera (date palm)
Lineage: Eukaryota; Viridiplantae; Streptophyta; Magnoliopsida; Arecales; Arecaceae
Description: long non-coding RNA (PDAC_LNC006047)
Source: RNAcentral